This 470-nucleotide ribosomal RNA is filed under the name uncultured Bacillota bacterium. RNAcentral describes it as "bacterial SSU rRNA". It matches the Rfam family "Bacterial small subunit ribosomal RNA", at positions 413 to 896 of the family's 1533-position model. Lineage: Bacteria; Bacillati; Bacillota. The record is from RNAcentral.
GGCCUUCGGGUUGUAAAACUCUGUCUUCAGGGAAGAAAAAAAUGACGGUACCUGAGGAGGAAGCCACGGCUAACUACGUGCCAGCAGCCGCGGUAAUACGUAGGUGGCAAGCGUUGUCCGGAAUUACUGGGCGUAAAGAGCGCGUAGGCGGGGAUUUAAGUCAGGAGUGAAAACUACCGGCUCAACCGGUAGCCUGCUCUUGAAACUGAAUUUCUUGAGGGUAUGAGAGGAAAGCGGAAUUCCCAGUGUAGCGGUGAAAUGCGUAGAUAUUGGGAGGAACACCAGUGGCGAAGGCGGCUUUCUGGCAUACAACUGACGCUGAGGCGCGAAAGCGUGGGGAGCAAACGGGAUUAGAUACCCCGGUAGUCCACGCCGUAAACGAUGGGCACUAGGUGUAGGAGGUAUCGACCCCUUCUGUGCCGUAGUUAACACAAUAAGUGCCCCGCCUGGGGAGUACGGCCGCAAGGUUG